CCGAAGUUCACCCAAUAAACUACUGUUCCAACAUGUCUGUGCUCACCUCCGCUCAGUAUUGCCACCCGCAGACCAUAAAAAACCAGUUGCCUCCUCCAAUCCAAUCCUGUCUUCUCUAGAUCUCUAGAAGGGAGUUUCGAGUGCCAACUAUUAUAUUGAAUUGGGCGGCAGCAGAUUUGGGUCCUAAUUCCUAAUAUCUCCUCUCCCUCAUCGCUCUUUCUAACACACACCGCAAACAUUCUGUUCCAGGAGGCAUACACGAAUGCCAAAUAGUGAACAACGCACCGACCCGAACUAUGCGGGACCAACUGCUCGGCAUUGAUUGCUACACGAAAUGUAGGAUCAACUCCUACAGUCGAGAGAGGAACAAACUGAACCAAGACUCGAAGACAGAAAAUGAGAGUGAAGGUCCUUUUUUUAUGUAGGAGCUAAUUUAAUAUUUGUUUGUGUAUGUGUUAAGUUUGUCUUGAAUUCUUCACCCGUUUUGGAGAUUGACCCGAUCCGACAUAUUUUGGUGGCGACCCGAAUGGGAAUCUUUCUGAGAUUUGUGAUGGAAGCAGAGGGGUUGGGCC
Long non-coding RNA from Macadamia integrifolia, 572 nucleotides. RefSeq lists it as uncharacterized. The transcript has 3 exons. NCBI's taxonomy places the organism in Eukaryota, Viridiplantae, Streptophyta, Magnoliopsida, Proteales, Proteaceae. The record is from RefSeq and is a predicted model, not a curated record.